Syngnathus acus (greater pipefish) is the source of this 507-nucleotide long non-coding RNA. RefSeq lists it as uncharacterized. The transcript is spliced from 2 exons. Lineage: Eukaryota; Metazoa; Chordata; Actinopteri; Syngnathiformes; Syngnathidae. The record is from RefSeq and is a predicted model, not a curated record.
GACUAUUUUGGACAUAAGAGACUGUUUGUGCGGAACAGCAAGGUGUCUGGCAAAUGGGGCAGGGAGGAGCGCCAGCUGACCUCUUUCCCGUUUGUGCCCGACCAGUUUUUUGAGAUCCGUAUCCGGUGUGAUGCCAAUUCCUUCCACGUGACCCUCAACGGCGGCGUCUACCUGGACUACAAGUACCGAUUUGGCUUAGCCAAGAUCAAGCGUGUGAGUCUGUUUAGGGACGCGACGCAGACAGACGUCACCCUGAUGUGAUGACAUCAGCACAAUGUCUGAAACAGCAUUUCCUGUCUGGAUAUCAUUUUGCAUUCAUAGCAUUCUAAGCAUACAUAUGAAUAUGAAACAUUGUUACAUUAUUCCAACGUGUCUUUUUCAAAAAAAAUCAUUUAACAAUGCAGCUAGAGAGUUUGUUGAUUGAUGUUGAUCCCCCCCCCACUUAUAUCUUCAUUCUAAUUUCAAAACUUGUUUAUCCAUUUUAGUCCAAUAAAACAUUUACAAGAG